UUUUUUUGUUGAUUUAGCAAC
RNAcentral lists this non-coding RNA (21 nucleotides) under Caenorhabditis elegans. The record is from RNAcentral. Lineage: Eukaryota; Metazoa; Nematoda; Chromadorea; Rhabditida; Rhabditidae.